AUCCAGCUGACGAGUUCCAAAUGGAACUAAACGUAUGUGCUGGAU
Molecule: non-coding RNA, 45 nt
Filed under: Schistosoma mansoni
Lineage: Eukaryota; Metazoa; Platyhelminthes; Trematoda; Strigeidida; Schistosomatidae
Source: RNAcentral